Molecule: ribosomal RNA, 495 nt
Filed under: uncultured bacterium
Lineage: Bacteria
Description: partial 16S ribosomal RNA
Rfam family: Bacterial small subunit ribosomal RNA
Source: RNAcentral
GACGAACGCUGGCGGCGUGCCUAAUACAUGCAAGUAGAACGCUGAAGGAGGAGCUUGCUUCUCUGGAUGAGUUGCGAACGGGUGAGUAACGCGUAGGUAACCUGCCUGGUAGCGGGGGAUAACUAUUGGAAACGAUAGCUAAUACCGCAUAAGAGUAGAUGUUGCAUGACAUUUGCUUAAAAGGUGCAAUUGCAUCACUACCAGAUGGACCUGCGUUGUAUUAGCUAGUUGGUGGGGUAACGGCUUACCAAGGCGACGAUACAUAGCCGACCUGAGAGGGUGAUCGGCCACACUGGGACUGAGACACGGCCCAGACUCCUACGGGAGGCAGCAGUAGGGAAUCUUCGGCAAUGGACGGAAGGCUGACCGAGCAACGCCGCGUGAGUGAAGAAGGUUUUCGGAUCGUAAAGCUCUGUUGUAAGAGAAGAACGAGUGUGAGAGUGGAAAGUUCACACUGUGACGGUAUCUUACCAGAAAGGGACGGCUAACUACGUG